This 72-nucleotide transfer RNA is filed under the name archaeon. RNAcentral describes it as "tRNA-Gly". It matches the Rfam family "tRNA". Rfam says of the family: Transfer RNA (tRNA) molecules are approximately 80 nucleotides in length. Their secondary structure includes four short double-helical elements and three loops (D, anti-codon, and T loops). Further hydrogen bonds mediate the characteristic L-shaped molecular structure. tRNAs have two regions of fundamental functional importance: the anti-codon, which is responsible for specific mRNA codon recognition, and the 3' end, to which the tRNAs corresponding amino acid is attached (by aminoacyl-tRNA synthetases). tRNAs cope with the degeneracy of the genetic code in two manners: having more than one tRNA (with a specific anti-codon) for a particular amino acid; and 'wobble' base-pairing, i.e. permitting non-standard base-pairing at the 3rd anti-codon position. The record is from RNAcentral.
GCGGAAGUAGUUCAAUGGUAGAGCCCAAGAUUUCCAAUCUUGUUGUUGAGAGUUCAAAUCUCUUCUUCCGCU